AGUGAACGCUGGCGGUAGGCCUAACACAUGCAAGUCGAACGGCAGCACAGUAAGAGCUUGCUCUUACGGGUGGCGAGUGGCGGACGGGUGAGGAAUACAUCGGAAUCUACUUUUUCGUGGGGGAUAACGUAGGGAAACUUACGCUAAUACCGCAUACGACCUACGGGUGAAAGCAGGGGAUCUUCGGACCUUGCGCUAUUGAAUGAGCCGAUGUCGGAUUAGCUAGUUGGCGGGGUAAAGGCCCACCAAGGCGACGAUCCGUAGCUGGUCUGAGAGGAUGAUCAGCCACACUGGAACUGAGACACGGUCCAGGCUCCUACGGGAGGCAGCAGUGGGGAAUAUUGGACAAUGGGCGCAAGCCUGAUCCAGCCAUACCGCGUGGGUGAAGAAGGCCUUCGGGUUGUAAAGCCCUUUUGUUGGGAAAGAAAAGCAGCAGGUUAAUACCCCGCUGUUCUGACGGUACCCAAAGAAUAAGCACCGGCUAACUUCGUG
RNAcentral lists this ribosomal RNA (492 nucleotides) under uncultured bacterium. RNAcentral's name for it is "partial 16S ribosomal RNA". It matches the Rfam family "Bacterial small subunit ribosomal RNA", at positions 29 to 507 of the family's 1533-position model. The record is from RNAcentral.